GCCUAGGGUCAGUAAGUGAAUUCAACCUCAGAUGCUUACUACACCCUGGGCAAAUCACUUAACUUCUGUUUCCCUCAGCUUACUUAACUGUGAAAUGGGGAUAAUAGUACCUAUCACCCAGGGUUGUUGUGAGGAUCAAAU
RNAcentral lists this small nucleolar RNA (141 nucleotides) under Phascolarctos cinereus (koala). RNAcentral's name for it is "Small nucleolar RNA ACA59 (ENSPCIG00000029271.2)". The record is from RNAcentral. Lineage: Eukaryota; Metazoa; Chordata; Mammalia; Diprotodontia; Phascolarctidae.